RNAcentral lists this ribosomal RNA (581 nucleotides) under Escherichia coli. RNAcentral's name for it is "partial 23S ribosomal RNA". It matches the Rfam family "Bacterial large subunit ribosomal RNA", at positions 296 to 888 of the family's 2925-position model. The record is from RNAcentral. Lineage: Bacteria; Pseudomonadati; Pseudomonadota; Gammaproteobacteria; Enterobacterales; Enterobacteriaceae.
AGCCCAGAGCCUGAAUCAGUGUGUGUGUUAGUGGAAGCGUCUGGAAAGGCGCGCGAUACAGGGUGACAGCCCCGUACACAAAAAUGCACAUGCUGUGAGCUCGAUGAGUAGGGCGGGACACGUGGUAUCCUGUCUGAAUAUGGGGGGACCAUCCUCCAAGGCUAAAUACUCCUGACUGACCGAUAGUGAACCAGUACCGUGAGGGAAAGGCGAAAAGAACCCCGGCGAGGGGAGUGAAAAAGAACCUGAAACCGUGUACGUACAAGCAGUGGGAGCACGCUUAGGCGUGUGACUGCGUACCUUUUGUAUAAUGGGUCAGCGACUUAUAUUCUGUAGCAAGGUUAACCGAAUAGGGGAGCCGAAGGGAAACCGAGUCUUAACUGGGCGUUAAGUUGCAGGGUAUAGACCCGAAACCCGGUGAUCUAGCCAUGGGCAGGUUGAAGGUUGGGUAACACUAACUGGAGGACCGAACCGACUAAUGUUGAAAAAUUAGCGGAUGACUUGUGGCUGGGGGUGAAAGGCCAAUCAAACCGGGAGAUAGCUGGUUCUCCCCGAAAGCUAUUUAGGUAGCGCCUCGUGAA